AUACUCUGGUUUCUCUUCAGAUCAUAUAAAACU
Molecule: small nuclear RNA, 33 nt
Filed under: Cervus elaphus hippelaphus
Lineage: Eukaryota; Metazoa; Chordata; Mammalia; Artiodactyla; Cervidae
Source: RNAcentral